RNAcentral lists this ribosomal RNA (506 nucleotides) under uncultured bacterium. RNAcentral's name for it is "partial 16S ribosomal RNA". It matches the Rfam family "Bacterial small subunit ribosomal RNA", at positions 29 to 523 of the family's 1533-position model. The record is from RNAcentral.
AGUGAACGCUGGCGGUAGGCCUAACACAUGCAAGUCGAACGGCAGCACAGGAGAGCUUGCUCUCUGGGUGGCGAGUGGCGGACGGGUGAGGAAUACAUCGGAAUCUACUCUGUCGUGGGGGAUAACGUAGGGAAACUUACGCUAAUACCGCAUACGACCUACGGGUGAAAGCAGGGGACCUUCGGGCCUUGCGCGAUUGAAUGAGCCGAUGUCGGAUUAGCUAGUUGGCGGGGUAAAGGCCCACCAAGGCGACGAUCCGUAGCUGGUGUGAGAGGAUGAUCCGCCACACUGGAACUGAGACACGGUCCGGACUCCGACGGGAGGCAGCAGUGGGGAAUAUUGGACAAUGGGCGCAAGCCUGAUCCAGCCAUACCGCGUGGGUGAAGAAGGCCUUCGGGUUGUAAAGCCCUUUUGUUGGGAAAGAAAUCCAGCUGGCUAAUACCCGGUUGGGAUGACGGUACCCAAAGAAUAAGCACCGGCUAACUUCGUGCCAGCCGCCGCAGUAA